This 460-nucleotide ribosomal RNA is filed under the name uncultured bacterium. RNAcentral describes it as "partial 16S ribosomal RNA". It matches the Rfam family "Bacterial small subunit ribosomal RNA", at positions 338 to 795 of the family's 1533-position model. The record is from RNAcentral.
CCUACGGGAGGCAGCAGUGAGGAAUAUUGGUCAAUGGACGAGAGUCUGAACCAGCCAAGUAGCGUGAAGGAUGACUGCCCUAUGGGUUGUAAACUUCUUUUAUAUGGGAAUAAAACGUUCCACGUGUGGGAUUUUGUAUGUACAAUAUGAAUAAGGAUCGGCUAACUCCGUGCCAGCAGCCGCGGUAAUACGGAGGAUCCGAGCGUUAUCCGGAUUUAUUGGGUUUAAAGGGAGCGUAGGUGGAUUGGUAAGUCAGUUGUGAAAGUUUGCGGCUCAACCGUAAAAUUGCAGUUGAAACUGGCAGUCUUGAGUACAGUAGAGGUGGGCGGAAUUCGUGGUGUAGCGGUGAAAUGCUUAGAUAUCACGAAGAACUCCGAUUGCGAAGGCAGUUCACUGGACUGCAACUGACACUGAGGCUCGAAAGUGUGGGUAUCAAACAGGAUUAGAUACCCUUGUAGUC